AAUGAUCCUCAUUUGUAACUUUUUUCCUAUUAAUAUGAUUCAUAUUGGAAAGUCACAUUUAUGUCAAAAUGAUUCCUCUCUACCCACACUUGGUUGCUCAUCUCCUUUUUGAAAUUUUAUAGUAUUUUAAAUUAUUCUUCUUUCCUUAAUUUGUGAUUCAGGACCUUGCUUAUUCUUUCCUGAACUCACUUUUUAAGACCUGGGUUUUAGGCUAAUUUUGACAGGAGCAGUGUGAACUUAGGCAAGUUAUUACUUUUUUUUUUUUUUUUUUCCUGAGUCUCAAUUGUGAAAUGGGGCCAUAGGGAGAAAAAAGUCAUUUUGUAACCCAGAAAAUGUCAGACAUGAGCUAGCACUGUUGUGCCAUGCAUGGUCUGGAUGUAGAGUACAAUUUUCUCUGAAGGGAAAAUUUACUCCUGGCUCCCUGAGAAAAUCCCACAAGACAAUUGGGGUCAUUCACUCUGUGACAGGGGUUGGGAAACCCAAGUUCCGCUGACUCAUAGAAUGAAAUAAGAGAUCACAUGAAAAUAAAAUGUAGCUUAAUAUAGGAUAAGGUUGUGAAAGAAAUGAAAACAAGCUUAAUCUGUUAAAAUUUAAGAACAUGAAAUACAAAGCUAUUAAAUAUGAUUUUCUCAAAAUUCACUCUAAUUCAACUUUAUUUUCCAUUCCGAGAAGGAGAAAGAAGAAAGAUAGGGAAAAGGAAAGAUUGUGUAGAGAAAUUAAAAGAUUAGGAUAGAAGAGAUCUGGGAAAGAAAACAAAGAGUAUCACAGAGUAGUAAUGGAUUAUUCAUCUCUGAGACACCCAUCGAGGAACUGGCAGAGCAGAAUACUAAUCCAGAUCGUUUUACUCCAAAUCCAGCACAUUUUCCAAUUAGUCCAAUUGUAUGUGGUCACCUCGCUUCUGUUUUUACACUUCCAGAAAUGGACAACUCCUGGAAAGCACAUCCUGCUUUCCAACUUUUGAGAUUCUGUGAAACAGACAAAAUUCUUCCUUGUCACCAGCCUCCCUAGAAUCAGUGUUAGAGCUGGAAGGAAGUUAGAGGCUAUCUCAUCCAAUCCCCCCAUUUUACAAGUGAGAAACUGAGGUCCAGAGGAGGGGAAAGACCUGGCCAAAUUCACUCAGCAAGAGGCAGAGCUGAGACCACGAGCCCGUGGUCCUGGCUGCAUCCCCAGUCCUCUCUGCACUGCAUCCCCCAGUAAUUAAAGGAUUGCUUGCAUCAGGAAUUUGCAAAAGAACGGGGUGAUUAAUGAGUGUGGCUGCAUUCCCAGAAAUUUGCAGGAAACUGAAUGCAGGUGAAAAUACCCACUUCCUUCCUCCGCGAUUGCUUGACUUGAGCUCAAGGUGUAUUCACUUGUUCAUGGUGAAGGGAGGGACUUAAGGGGGGUCGGUUUCAGAGGAGCUGCCCAGUGAGAGGAAACAGGAUUGAGCAACCAGGUUUCCUGUUACUCUCUGGAUUUUCUCCAGUGAGGGAGAGGCAGGAGGGAAAACAUGUGAUGGAAAAUCUUACGCCCCUAACAUAUUUCUUUGAUUUACUAAGGUGAUAUAUUAGGAGGAUUAUGGCUUCAUUGGUGCUGUAGUGAGCUGUUUGACAUAAACUGGCUGCAGCAGGCUUAGGGGCUGAAAGGAGAUGGAUAAAUGCCCCUUCAGAGACUGCAAGCUUUUUGCAAAUUCUACAGUAUGAGUUGAAAGGAAACUUAAAAAGGGAGCAAAUCUAACCUAUUUGAAGGAGGAAUCUGCCAUACUGUGGAAUACUGAAAUGGGAUCUAGACUUGGGUUCAGACACUGGCUCUGAUACCAGCUGUGUAACUGGACAAAUCAUUUGAUUUCCCUGAACCUUAGUUUUUUUCCAUACAUCAGUAGGGAUAAUACUUGUGCUAUUUACCUUAACUGCUUCACUUUGUAAGCAAAGUGCUAUGUAAGCCUC
Long non-coding RNA from Sarcophilus harrisii (Tasmanian devil), 1922 nucleotides. The record is from Ensembl. Lineage: Eukaryota; Metazoa; Chordata; Mammalia; Dasyuromorphia; Dasyuridae.